UCUGGCAAAUGAGGAAGAUAAUCUUAUCCUACACACCGAAUUUUAGUUAGUGUGUGGACUACAAACUCCGCUUAUUAUCUGAUGCCAUA
Molecule: small nucleolar RNA, 89 nt
Organism: Arachis stenosperma
Lineage: Eukaryota; Viridiplantae; Streptophyta; Magnoliopsida; Fabales; Fabaceae
Product: small nucleolar RNA R16
Exons: 1
Source: RefSeq, a predicted model, not a curated record